AUCAGAUGAAGAGCCUAUUGAAGAUGAACAGACUCCAAUUCAGAUAUCAUGGCUAUCUUUGUCACGAGUGAAUUGUUCUCAGUUUCUCGGUUUAUGUGCUCUUCCAGGUUGUAAAUUUAAAGAUGUUAGAAGAAAUGUCCAAAAAGAUACAGAAGAACUAAAGAGCUGUGGUAUACAAGACAUAUUUGUUUUCUGCACCAGAGGGGAACUGUCAAAAUAUAGAGUCCCAAACCUUCUGGAUCUCUACCAGCAAUGUGGAAUUAUCACCCAUCAUCAUCCAAUCGCAGAUGGAGGGACUCCUGACAUAGCCAGCUGCUGUGAAAUAAUGGAAGAGCUUACAAUCUGCCUUAAAAAUUACCGAAAAACCUUAAUACACUGCUAUGGAGGACUUGGGAGAUCUUGUCUUGUAGCUGCUUGUCUCCUACUAUACCUGUCUGACACAAUAUCACCAGAGCAAGCCAUAGACAGCCUGCGAGACUUAAGAGGAUCCGGGGCAAUACAGACCAUCAAGGAUCUACCUACUGCUCAGUUUUUGCCCCAGUCAGUUUUGGGAAUGGAUCCUCUCACCUAGAACAAUGAGAUGGUUAUUAUUAAUAUAAACUUGGUAGGUUCUUGGGUAGAUUCUUGGCCAAAAAAAAUCUAUGGAAGAUCCUAUUAUAUCACCAAAACAUUUAAUAAAGACAGAUGAAUGACUAUAAUACAAAAAAUGGAA
This 712-nucleotide small RNA is filed under the name Pongo abelii (Sumatran orangutan). RNAcentral describes it as "processed transcript". Lineage: Eukaryota; Metazoa; Chordata; Mammalia; Primates; Hominidae. The record is from RNAcentral.